UGGGAUCUAGAGCCCAGGUGUGUUUCCUAA
This 30-nucleotide non-coding RNA is filed under the name Homo sapiens (human). Lineage: Eukaryota; Metazoa; Chordata; Mammalia; Primates; Hominidae. The record is from RNAcentral.